RNAcentral lists this long non-coding RNA (243 nucleotides) under Phoenix dactylifera (date palm). RNAcentral's name for it is "long non-coding RNA (PDAC_LNC011722)". Lineage: Eukaryota; Viridiplantae; Streptophyta; Magnoliopsida; Arecales; Arecaceae. The record is from RNAcentral.
GGGUGAAUUGGGUCUUAUAAAACUUUUAAGCUACUUCUAACACUUUUCAAUUAAUUAUGCUAAGUUGUAUAGUUGCACAGUGGAAUUUAAACUUAGCAAUAGGUUGAUUUAUCGAAUGAGACUUGAUUAAGUAAAUUGAAUAUGCUUGCAACUAAAGGAUGCGCGGAUAAGAGUUAAGCAUGCAAUUUAUCUAGGUAAGUAAGUGAGCAAGAUAGACAAUGACAAAAAGCAUCACAAACACNN